CCGGCAGCAGACGCUGGAGAGCGCGUUUGCUGAGCUGCGCAGGCGCACAGCCCCGCCCUGGUCCGGCCAGGGAGUCUGCGGGCCGCUGCUGAGAUAGUGGCAAGGGAAGGUACAGCCCGGCCCUUCCGCGGGGCAGCUGGCCAUUUCCAGCAGGCCUGUUCUGUCCCAGGAUGACCUUCCAGGAGAUAUCCAAAACCAACCUUCCCAUUGCUGGAAAGAUCAGUAUGAAAUCCUGCUACUGCCCAUAUUUAUCGCCUGCCAGAGAAAGUUUUUAUCAUUAUGGAGAGAUCUACAUUGUCAACUGACCUAUUUUUUUGCGGUUAUUAUUACUCUGGAGUAUGUUCUUUCUGAUCAUAAUGCAGGGGGAAAUGCAAAGCAGGACUUGAAGCCAGCACUGCCACCUACAAGCGAGGACUGUGAAAGGGAAAAAGACUGAAACUCCAGUCAUCUGGAUAUUUGUCCAAGCUGCCAGAAAACUAAGAAUAGACCUGUAGAGCGGGGCUUCUGGUUUAUACAAAAUAGAAA
Molecule: non-coding RNA, 525 nt
Organism: Mus caroli (Ryukyu mouse)
Lineage: Eukaryota; Metazoa; Chordata; Mammalia; Rodentia; Muridae
Source: RefSeq, a predicted model, not a curated record